RNAcentral lists this long non-coding RNA (5755 nucleotides) under Malus domestica (apple). RNAcentral describes it as "long non-coding RNA (MDOM_LNC000003)". Lineage: Eukaryota; Viridiplantae; Streptophyta; Magnoliopsida; Rosales; Rosaceae. The record is from RNAcentral.
UGUUGGCCGACACCAGGAGGGUGACGAAGCCAUAAAAUGCAGUGAAGUGGAAAAUGUAAAUAAAUUUAAAUCUAAAAGUGCCUAAAUAUAAGAGUGCGCUUGUAAGUGGGAAUGAGCCCAUUUUACACGUAAUGUCAGAGCAUAAGUAAAGUGCAGUAAAAUUAGGAUAAGACUUAUACCAUUGGGAGUAGUCUCUGAUAUCAGCAUUUGCCAGAAAUCCUCAUUAACUCGAACAUUGUCACUGAAACCUGGAGGGGUGAAAAACAAGGGUGAGUAGGCCUAAAAAUAAAGUUUUAUAAAAGCCUUUUUGAAAACAUUAUGAAAAUACUUACCGUAGCCUGCAAUAUCUCAAAAAUACAAUAUGUCACAAAAUUCAUAAAUAAAUACAUGACAUUCAUAAUCACAUAAUCUCGCAUAAGCAAACAUAUCAUAUCGAGUGCUCAUCGACACAUGCUGACACACGAGUUCAUGCAGAGGUAUUCUGACAUGAACAUGACUGGGUGUAAUAAUGAUAUAUGAUCUAGUACUACAAUCACAUGAAGACUAGAGCUAAGUGCAGCAUAUAUGAGUCAUAAUUGCCUAUAGCAAUCUAGGACAGGAUUGGCACCUACAAUAGAUCCAAAGUGAGUGUACGGUGCAAUGUGCACAUACACGUGAAAGACUGGCCCUGGCUCAGGGUUGACUUUGUCAGUGAUGUUUCCAUCCUCAUCUGUCAGCAAUGCUGGGGGACACUUACUAGUUCCAUCAACAAAGGAAACCAGAUUUCGACUGCGGAGGAGAGGUAGCAUUUGGGCUUGCCAGAGAGGGUAGUUGGUACGAUCAAGUUUGAUCGUGAGAAAAUUGGAGACAUUAGGAAAGGGAAUGGGAGAGGAAGAUUGAGAAGCCAUGGAGAACGGGGAAAAAAAAUUAUUGUCGCUAGACUUUAGCUCUUUGAUACCAUGAAAGAGUUUAAGCUAGGGUUCGAAAACUGUGAACUGCAUAAACUCAUCAAGGAGUAUGGUUUGGCUUUCUUACAAUCUGCAUCAUUGCAGUAUGGUUUUUAUACAGUUUUACAUACACCCGCAUGCCAUAAACAAUAGUACACGCAUGCAAUAAAUAAUGUGAGAUCAUGCAAUAUUCUUCUGCCCAUCUUCGACAGGACUUCAUGGGUUUCAUUUAGAAUAGUCCUUUCACCAUGUCAGCAGCACAUGGAUUAUAUGUCAGCAGCACAUGGCUUAUACUCAGGUAGUUUGAACUGAAUAUUUGGUUUAUCACGCCCCCGCAAGCUGAGUGGGCGCGGACGAACAGGAAGCUUGGAAAGAAGAUAACUGAACCGUGCGGUGGACAAGCCCUUUGUUAAGAGAUCGGCAAGUUGGUCAGUAGAUGAAACAUAUCCCACAACAAGUUCAUUUCUAGUGACUUUCUCUCGAACAUAAUGAUAAUCAACUUCCACAUGACGCAUACGAGCCUGAUAAACGGGAUUGGAAGCCACUGCCAGUGCACUGAUAUUGUCACACCACAAUUUUGGUGGAGUGAGAGGAAGACGAAGAUCACAAAAAAAUGUGUCUGAACCAAGAUAAGGUGGCAGCUGUGUAGGCCAUUUGGCGAUACUCGGCCUCCGUACUUGAGCGAGACACGCCGCGCUGCUUUUUAGAACUCCAGGAGACCAAGUUAUCCCCUAGAAAUAUGCAAUGACCACCAGUGGAGCGACGAUCAUCAGGGUCACCAGCGUAGUCAGCAUCGGCAAAUGCUGUGAGGGACAAAAAACUGGGUUUAUAAACGAGACCGCGAUCAUGAGUGGCUUUCAAAUAGCGAAGAAUGCGUUUGACGGCAACCCAAUGUGUAGUGGUGGGCGAAUGCAUAUACUGGCAGACUUGAUUCACAGCGAAAGCAAUGUCCGGACGUGAAUAAGAGAUAUUGGAGAGCCCCAACAAUACUUCGAAAGGUUGUUCCAUCCGCCAAGGGCUCGCCCUCAUACAAACUAAGCUUGCGGCCAGGGAGGGCUGGAGUAGACAAGGGUUUGGCGUCAGCCAUCUGAGUUCGUUUGAGGAGGUCCAGGAUAUAUUUUGACUGUGUUAAGUACAUGGCCGUUGGCGUUCUCGUAAUUUCCAUUCCCAAAAAAUAAUGCAAGGGACCAAGGUCCUUCAUGGAGAAUUUUUCGACCCAAUUGAUGAAUCAAGGUGGAGAUGUGAGCUGGAUUAUUACCGGUGACGAGGAUGUCAUCAACGUAAAUGAGCAAGUAAAUGACAUUAGUUCCAUUGCAGAAAAUGAACAGCGAAGAAUCUGCCAUGGAGGCUUGAAAGCCGAGCUCCUCCAGAUGGUGAGAGAAGCACUGAAACCAGGCACGUGGAGCCUGUUUUAAGCCGUAUAAGGACCGGCGAAGACGGCAUACAUGUGACGGAAACUGCGGAUCGACAAAACCAGAAGGUUGGCGCAUGUAGACUUCUUCAUUUAAAGAGCCAUGAAGGAACGCAUUUUUGACGUCAAGUUGGCGAAUUGGCCAGUUAAAAUGAAGAGCCACGGAGAGAAUGAUCCUGAUGGUAGCAUGAGUGACGACGGGACUAAACGUCUCACUGUAAUCAAGCCCUUCUUGUUGAUGGAAACCAUUGGCAACAAGACGUGCUUUAAAUCUUUCAAUGGAACCGUCAGAUUUCCGUUUAAUACGGUAGACCCAUUUAUUUGGUAGGACAUUCAUGGAGGGAUGAGAAGGAACUAGGGACCACGUUCCUGUGCUUUGUAGAGCAUUGAACUCUUCUGCCAUUGCCAUACGCCAUUCGGGAGACUUAUUUGCCUGUGUAAAACAAGAGGGCUCAACAAGUUCAUUAGUCACAUCAGAAACAAGAGCAUACUUGGGGUUUGGCUUCUGAAUGCCAUCCUUUGAGCGUGUAACCAUGGAGUGAACAGGUUGAAUUUGUCUCUGAGAGGAAGGUGAGACAGGAGCAACACCCAUUGCAGUCGUAGGGGAUGGAAUGGAAGAAGGGGCAGGGAGGUGCGGAUUUGGUGGGAAAUUAGAGGAAAUAGGGUUAGGUUGGGGGGAUGGUAUAGUGGGAUGCAUGUGAUGGUGCGGAUGUGGUGGUAAAGGGCAGGGAAUAGGACUAGGGUUAGGUGGGUGAGAUAAUAUGGGGAAUAAGUUGGACGGAUGUGGGUUUGGUGGUACAGUUGGGAAAAUGGGGUUCCUAGAGGGAUAAUGGAAAGAAGAGGGGUCAAUGUUCAGUACCAUAGACGAUUGGGAGGAUGAGGACGUUGUAGAAAUGGAUUCUUUGUAUGGAAAAUUGGUUUCAUCAAAUAGGACAUGGCGUGACAAAAAAAUGCGACCUGUGGACGUAUCUAAACACCUAUAACCUUGUUGAUUUAAUGAAUAACCUAAGAAAAUGCAACGUUUGGAGCGAAAUUGCAGCUUGUUAGUAUUAUAAGGACGAAGAAAUGGAAAACAUGCACACUCCAAAAAACUUUAAGAAAAAUCAUAUUGAGGAGAUUUUUGAAACAGUUUUUGAAAGGGAGACUCAUCAUGGAGAACUUUAGUGGGUAAACGAUUGAUCAAAUAGUUUGCUGUAUGGAAAGCAUCAUCCCAAAAAGAAGUUGGUAAGGAGGAAUGAGCAAGAAGAGUGAGACCAGUUUCAACGAUAUGACGGUGUUUUACGUUCGGAAAUUCCAUUUUUGUUCAGGAUGAUGUGGACAUGUAAAACGAUGUAGAAUGCCAUGUUGAGUCAAAAAAUUUUUGAAUUUGUUGUUUACGUACUCCCCUCCUCCAUCAGUUUGAAAGGAUUUAAUUGUAGUGUGGAACAUGUUUUCAACCAAUUUCUUAAAGGACACAAAAGUGAGAAAAACAUCAAGAUUUUAAUUUUAAGGGAUAUAGCCAAGAGUAGCGAGAAAAAUCAUCAAUAAACACGACAUAAUAUUUAAAACCAUUGAUAGAAAAAGAAGGUGAAGUCCAUACAUCGGAAUGAACCAAUUGUAAAGGAGAUGAAGACCUAGAGACAGACAAUGGAAAAGGUAACUUGUGACUCUUGCCCAUGGGACAUGAGUGACAUAACUCACUAGUUACAACGCCCUUAAUAGGCAAUUUGUUCCUAGAAACCAAAUUUUGCAAAAUAUGAGAAGAUGGAUGACCUAACCUAGAGUGCCAAAUUGAAUUGGACACUCUAGUUCCUAAAAAUGCAGACACGCCUUUAAUGGAAGAUGAAACACCAGAAAAAGGGUAGAAUCCAUUCCUACUCGGGCCUUGUAAAAGCAUCCUCCCCGUGUGGAGUUCCUGAACACAGUAUGAGUUGGGAUAUAAGGUUAGAGAACAGUUAUUAUCGGUAGUAAAACGAUGGAUAGAAAUAAUAUUGGUUGAUGCAUUAGGGCAUAGUAGUGUAUUAGGUAAUGUGAAAGUAGAGGUAGGUGUACGAAUGGAAGUGUUGCCUAUGUGUGAAAUUUGCAAACCUGUGCCACCAACAACUCCAUUGACUUGGUCCAUGCCAGUAUAAGGAUGAGGAUGCGCAACAGUAGCUAGAUUAUUGGUGAUGUGAGCAUUGGCCCCGGAGUCAAACAGCCAUUCCUGUAUGGCAGGUGCUGUUGCAGAAGCAGGAGAGCAGAGCACGAGCAGCAAAGGCUUGAAGACGUGGUGCAGGGACACGUCCCUCAUAAGACAUAUUUAGGCGGUUGAAGCAGUCAAUCGCAGAAUGACCAUAACGAUUACAUAUUUGGCAUUGAAUCCGGCUUGUAGUAAAAGUACCUUGGGAAGGAGAGGUGCCAAGAAUCCCAUCAUGUGGGCGGGAGUGGGAUACUUGGUGAGAGUUGGACCCUUGGUGAUAGUAGGAACCUUGGUGAGAGGGUGAGGAGCUGUAGUGGCGAUUGGUAGAGCCGCGACCAGUAUUGAAGUUACUACGACCACGGAAGCCAGUAGAGGAUCCUCGUCCUCGAGAAGAUGCAGGUGCGCGGUUGCCAUUGCAAAGCGGCGGCAAGGACAGUGAGAGCCCACUGUCAGUACCAAACGCGGAAUGUAUUUGCUGUCGUCUUUUCAGCGCCAAGGAGGAGGGCUUCCAAAGCACUGUAGGUAAUAGCCUCAUCACGGGCUUGAGCGGAAGCAACGGUACUUUCAUAGGCCGGACCAACGUUGUUGAGGAUGAUGGCAACGAUGUCGGAGUCGGAAACGGGAGCACCAGAGAGAGAGAGAGGGUAUCUGCGAGACAAUUAAUUUUAUCCAAAAAUUCAGAAAUGGAAGAAUCACCUCGGUGAGUAUUCAUCAACUCACUACGAAGCUGGAGAAGGCGACCGGUGGACUGAGAAGCAUAACGAUCACGUAGUGUUGUCCAGGCAGAGUGGGAGCUGGUUUUCCCAAUUAAAGCAGCAAGCACGGUAGGAUGGACGGAGGAGUUGAUCCAUGACAUAACAGUUGCAUCCUGUUGUAUCCAAGUGUCGAAAUCAGGGUUGACUUUGUCAGUGAUGUUUCCAUCCUCAUCUGUCAGCAAUGCUGGGGGACACUUACUAGUUCCAUCAACAAAGGAAACCAGAUUUCGACUGCGGAGGAGAGGUAGCAUUUGGGCUUGCCAGAGAGGGUAGUUGGUACGAUCAAGUUUGAUCGUGAGAAAAUUGGAGACAUUAGGAAAGGGAAUGGGAGAGGAAGAUUGAGAAGCCAUGGGAGAACGGGGAAAAAAAAAUUAUUGUCGCUAGACUUUAGCUCUUUGAUACCAUGAAAGAGUUUAAGCUAGGGUUCGAAAACUGUGAACUGCAUAAACUCAUCAAGGAGUAUGGUUUGGCUUUCUUACAAUCUGCAUCAUUGCAGUAUGGUUUU